AUCUAUGGUCCUACCACCAUGAACGCACCCCAUCUCGUCUGAUCUCAGAAGCUAAGCAGGGUUGGGCCUGGUUAGUACUUGGAUGGGAGACUGACGAGAAAAACCAGGUGAUGUAGGCU
Saimiri boliviensis boliviensis (Bolivian squirrel monkey) is the source of this 119-nucleotide ribosomal RNA. NCBI's taxonomy places the organism in Eukaryota, Metazoa, Chordata, Mammalia, Primates, Cebidae. The record is from Ensembl.